RNAcentral lists this ribosomal RNA (266 nucleotides) under uncultured bacterium. RNAcentral describes it as "partial 16S ribosomal RNA". It matches the Rfam family "Bacterial small subunit ribosomal RNA", at positions 57 to 305 of the family's 1533-position model. The record is from RNAcentral.
GCAAGUCGAACGAGAAAGGGAUUGCUUGCAAUCCUGAGUAGAGUGGCGCACGGGUGAGUAACACGUAGAUAAUCUACCUUCAAGCCCGGGAUAACUAUUCGAAAGGAUAGCUAAUACCGGAUGAAGUUGUCAGGCACAAGUCUGAUAAUGAAAGAUUGCCUCUUCUUGAAAGCAAUUGUUUGGGGAUGAGUCUGCGGACCAUUAGUUUGUUGGUGGGGUAAAGGCCUACCAAGACUGCGAUGGUUAGCUGGUCUGAGAGGAUGAUC